RNAcentral lists this ribosomal RNA (201 nucleotides) under uncultured bacterium. Its description in RNAcentral is "partial 16S ribosomal RNA". It matches the Rfam family "Bacterial small subunit ribosomal RNA", at positions 524 to 725 of the family's 1533-position model. The record is from RNAcentral.
GACGUAGGAUGCAAGCGUUGUCCGGAUUUAUUGGGCGUAAAGAGCUCGUAGGCGGUUUGUCGCGUCUGCUGUGAAAACUGGAGGCUCAACCUCCAGCCUGCAGUGGGUACGGGCAGACUAGAGUGCGGUAGGGAGAUUGGAAUUCCGUGGUGUAGCGGUGAAUGCGCAGAUAUCGAGGAGGAACACCGAUGCGAAGGCAGA